This 433-nucleotide RNase P RNA is filed under the name Streptomyces sp. NP160. RNAcentral's name for it is "Bacterial RNase P class A". It matches the Rfam family "Bacterial RNase P class A". From Rfam's summary of the family: Ribonuclease P (RNase P) is a ubiquitous endoribonuclease, found in archaea, bacteria and eukarya as well as chloroplasts and mitochondria. Its best characterised activity is the generation of mature 5'-ends of tRNAs by cleaving the 5'-leader elements of precursor-tRNAs. The record is from Rfam by way of RNAcentral. Lineage: Bacteria; Bacillati; Actinomycetota; Actinomycetes; Kitasatosporales; Streptomycetaceae.
CGAGCCAGCCGGGCGGCCGCGUCGACGGGCCUCGCGAGGGGUCCGCCGCCGAGGAACGUCCGGGCUCCGCAGGGCAGGGUGGUGGGCAACACCCACCCGGGGUGACCCGCGGGAAAGUGCCACAGAGAACAGACCGCCACGCCGCCUCCGGUCCGCCGGAGGGGGCGGGGCAAGGGUGAAACGGUGGUGCAAGAGACCACCAGCGCCCCCGGUGACGGGGGUGGCUCGGCAAACCCCACCCGGAGCAAGGCCAGACAGGGAGCGUCCGAGGGCUGCCCGCCCGAGCUCCCGGGUAGGCCGCGACUGCGACCGGCCCCACGCGGGACGGGAGCGACGAGGACGGCGGCAACGCCGUCCCGAGAUGGAUGGCCGCCCCCUGCGACCGGCUCGCCGGACGCAGGGACAGGACCCGGCGUACAGGCUGGCUCGCCCG